GGAAUUAACUCAUGGGCAUGAAUGGGAGUCAUUGAAUAAACGAGUAAAUUAAAUUAUUGGAAAAUAUUUCCAACAGCGGUCUCACUUCUUGCACCUGCUUUUCCCUAUUAGCAGGUUUAAGGGACCUUAGUUUACAUCUUUGAGUCAGUGGUCGUGAGCCAUGACUUAGUAUUGCUUCAUAAGAUUAAAUGGAAUUUCUUUGGGGAUUUAAAAAAUACCAAGUCAGAGGAAACUGCAUGACGUUCCACUCUGUUGGGAUUAGAAUGUAAAUAGAUUCUGCUUUUUAAUUUUGGGAUCACUUUUACAAUGCAGUAUAAAGGGCAAUUCUGUCUCUGUUCUCAAGGGAAGCCCUGUUUCUUUGUAGCACCAGAAGCUAAGAAGAAAGCAGAAGAAACUGGUGAGGCCAAGUGGUCUGGCAUGCAACCCUCUGGAAGUGGUGGGAAGGCACAGCAGUGGCAUUUCUACAACCUCAUGAGCACAGGUGCAGCCAGUUAUUCCCAAAUGAGGUGGACCAGGAGUGAUGCAAAUUCGGAAUGACCCCUUCAGUCAGUGCCCAUGUAUAGCCACGCCGAUGGGGACUGGAAGGAGGCAAGCCAAUAAAGAUGGUGGAGAAGACCUGGUGGCUUUGGGAUGUAGCAGCCUCUGGAAGUUACCACCCUUGGAGCACAGUGGGUACAAUGGACAACAUUCCUGUGAUGUUCUUGCACCAGGGUUUGAUGCAGUAGCCAAUAUCCCAGUAAGGAGCAGACCAGCUGAAAGUGAUGGCGAAUUCUUCUCCACAUUGAGUUUUUUGGAUGAAACUGAACUCUUCCUGCAAGCUUGCUGUUGA
Long non-coding RNA from Phasianus colchicus (ring-necked pheasant), 829 nucleotides. NCBI's taxonomy places the organism in Eukaryota, Metazoa, Chordata, Aves, Galliformes, Phasianidae. The record is from Ensembl.